GUGAAAAGAGCUCUUGGUCCACCAUCACAACUUCAGAUUUUGAAUGGCCUAAAAGAAAAGCAAUUGUUGGUGCAUUCAGACGUAUAUUGACACAAUUAACCACAGCUCCAGCCAUUGGAACUCCAAAGUGUGCUUCGUACAUAGCAGGGAUAUUUGGUGCAAUUAUUGCUACCGUGCUACCGGUGCCGACGGAAUGCUUGGAUAGAGCGGAAGCCAAUCGGCGGCAUCGCUUGUUGGUCUGGAACCAAGUGUAGCGUACGGAUCCAUGCAGAAGCGAUGUUCUGGUUGGGUGAAUCGUGGCUGCUCUAUCGAGGAACCACAGUGGCGUCAAGGCAGUGUAGUUGGCUGCGUUUUUCGGCAGGUCAUCGAUAUCUCUCUCCAUUUUUG
RNAcentral lists this unclassified non-coding RNA (387 nucleotides) under Hevea brasiliensis (rubber tree). The record is from RNAcentral. Lineage: Eukaryota; Viridiplantae; Streptophyta; Magnoliopsida; Malpighiales; Euphorbiaceae.